This is a long non-coding RNA of Hemicordylus capensis (graceful crag lizard), 1108 nucleotides long. RefSeq lists it as uncharacterized. NCBI's taxonomy places the organism in Eukaryota, Metazoa, Chordata, Lepidosauria, Squamata, Cordylidae. The record is from RefSeq and is a predicted model, not a curated record. The transcript is spliced from 3 exons.
GAGCCCAUGUGGGGAAAGAAAGCCAUGCCAGGGGGGCAGGGUUGAAGCAACUUUGAAAAGGUCUGAGGAAGAGCUACACUGGUUGAUUAUUGCAGGAAUGAAAGGCACUCUGACCUUGUCGACCGAAUGCCUUGCUGCUUUCAAUGUUGCCCAUUAUGCUGAAGGCAGGCAACUCCUGGAGAGAGACUGGAAUCUGUAGGAGAGCUGCUAUCUGGGCAACCUGCCAGCAAAGGCUUCAUCAUCUGCAAUGCAGCCAAGAUGAAUACUCAGGCUAAGCUUCAGCUUUAACCUGAGAGCAAAUCUGAGGACUGUGAAGAAUUUCUUGGUGAAUACCAGCAAUGAAAAGUGCCUCCCAGCCCUCCAAAUGAAGGAUUAAUGAAGGAUUAAGACACUGAUUUCAUGUGGAGAGUUAGCCUCUUUCAAAUUCCCAUCAGCAUGCCCUUGGUUUUCCAUCUCGUUCAAAUUGGACAUGGACAAAGAUCUAUCACCAUCAACAAAAUGUAGACAUAUUAAUGCAUAAACACAUACCAAUAUUUGUCACUUUCUUCGACAGUGCAGACACCAAGAGAACACAUGGUCUAGUCUAUUUUGCCACUCUAACAGACAAGAACUUUGUAAUAUUGCCCUCAUUCCUUCAAAAGAUAUACUUGUAUUUUUGGAGGUCAAAUAUGUCUUUCUGAAAACAGGUACAUAAGGAAUACCUAGCAAACAAGAACAAUGAAUAGCAGAAGAGCUACUAAUGUAAUUUCUGUUUAAUGAGUUCCAUUUGGAUAUUUUCAUUAAAUGUCAUGAGUUUCCAACAUGGGUGUGAUUUGCAGGAGUGUGCUCUUGCUGGUGAGAAGCAGGUUUCAGUUGCUGAGUCAUAAGCCCUCUUCUCAUACUUCUGUCCACACAUUUAAUCAAUGAGUGAAUUAGAAUUGUGGCUACUGGCAUUGUCCCAACCUGCAUAUAUCCAGCUCUUUGACUUCCAUAGGGUCAGAGGCUCUGCUCUCUGCAUGUUAGAUAGAAUGUGAGAGUGGGCCUUACACAUGUACUUAUGUAUUCUAAUCCCGCCCCCACACCCACUUAUGCAUACAGCAGUACAUGUGGAAGGCCCAUUCUAAUCUUA